UCAGACGAUGCGUCAUGCAUAUCAAUAAGCGGAGGAAAAGAAACUAACAAGGAUUCCCCUAGUAACGGCGAGUGAAGCGGGAAGAGCUCAAAUUUGAAAUCUUAAAGGGUUUCCCUUUACGAAUUGUAGUUUAAAGAAGUGUUUUCUGUUGAGGUUUUGGUAAAAGUUCUUUGGAAUAGGACAUCAUAGAGGGUGAGAAUCCCGUAUUUGACCUUUACUUUCAACUUUGUGAUACACUUUCAAAGAGUCGGAUUGUUUGGGAAUGCAGUCCGAAAAUGGGUGGUAAAUUUCAUCUAAAGCUAAAUAUUGGCGAGAGACCGAUAGCGAACAAGUACCGUGAGGGAAAGAUGAAAAGAACUUUGAAAAGAGAGUUAAACAGUACGUGAAAUUGUCAAAAGGGAAGCGUUUGACACCAGUGUUGUUUUUCUGAAAAUCAAUUAAAGAACUGUUUAUGCUAAGCUGUUUAGACUUUAUCAGCUAUCUGUUUAGUUUUGAGCUUUUCUUUAAUGCACUUUUCAGUUAACAAGUCAACAUCAAUUUCUUUUGCUGUAAAAAAGCUUGAGGAAGGUGGCUUGAGAUUCGUCUUAAGUGUUUAUAGCCUCUCGCCUAUGCAGUCGGAGAGAUUGAGGUCUGCAGCGUAGAUCCUUCGGGGCUAAAUGCAUUUGUGCUAAGUUAUAGCAUUUUAUAGACAACUUGUUGACUAUGAUUUGUCUUGUAGCUUACUCGCUUAUGUUAUUUUACCUACGCUUAGGAUGUUGAAUCUGUGCGAGACUAC
This 775-nucleotide ribosomal RNA is filed under the name uncultured Neocallimastigales. RNAcentral describes it as "partial large subunit ribosomal RNA". It matches the Rfam family "Eukaryotic large subunit ribosomal RNA", at positions 18 to 644 of the family's 3401-position model. Lineage: Eukaryota; Fungi; Neocallimastigomycota; Neocallimastigomycetes; Neocallimastigales. The record is from RNAcentral.